AAACAAUAUGCAUAACGCGGCCACGGGUAAAAAACGAAAAGAAAAGGGCGGGUCUGAGAAGGCGAGAGAAAAAAAAUGCGGAAUUUAGAUACUGAAGCCGCUAAAUGUCGCAAAUUAACUGAAAUAUUUAGCCAGCCAGCAGCAGCACCUCGCAGUUAAAUAUUAGGAGCAGACCCAGCAGUGAAGAAGUGAGCCAGACAGCUAUGCAGCAACAUGCCACCAGUGAUGAUGAGGGACAGAAAGAUGAGCUGGUUCCACAGGCAGAUACAGGGCAAGUGCUGUGAGGAAAAACACAGUGACACGGUCAGCCACGGACUCAGAGGUCACCAAGCACGCAAUCAGGUGGUUCAACCUGGCAGCGUAUCGGGCAAUGAGGAGACGUGUCCUGCCUCAAGCCACACAAACGGAGUAAUAGGAGAAAUAAGCAAGAAACAAUAUUUUUUUGAACUUCUUGUCGUUCUCCAGUUAUUAAUUUUCUGAUAUUUUAGCUGUGCAUUUCAUUGAAGUUUUAGCCUAAUGGAUAAAAUUUUUAUGUCUGCACCGACCUAGGCCUAUAAAGCACUAAAUUAGGUUUUGACCACAAAAUGAAUGUAAAGUAGCUUAGCCAACGUAGG
Esox lucius (northern pike) is the source of this 614-nucleotide long non-coding RNA. The record is from Ensembl. Lineage: Eukaryota; Metazoa; Chordata; Actinopteri; Esociformes; Esocidae.